Molecule: ribosomal RNA, 498 nt
Filed under: uncultured bacterium
Lineage: Bacteria
Description: partial 16S ribosomal RNA
Rfam family: Bacterial small subunit ribosomal RNA
Source: RNAcentral
AUUGAACGCUGGCGGCAUGCUUUACACAUGCAAGUCGAACGGUAACAGGCCGCAAGGUGCUGACGAGUGGCGAACGGGUGAGUAAUGCAUCGGAACGUGCCCAGUCGUGGGGGAUAACGCAGCGAAAGCUGUGCUAAUACCGCAUACGAUCUAUGGAUGAAAGCGGGGGACCGUAAGGCCUCGCGCGAUUGGAGCGGCCGAUGUCAGAUUAGGUAGUUGGUGGGGUAAAGGCUCACCAAGCCAACGAUCUGUAGCUGGUCUGAGAGGACGACCAGCCACACUGGGACUGAGACACGGCCCAGACUCCUACGGGAGGCAGCAGUGGGGAAUUUUGGACAAUGUGCGCAAGCCUGAUCCAGCAAUGCCGCGUGCAGGAAGAAGGCCUUCGGGUUGUAAACUGCUUUUGUACGGAACGAAACGGCGAGCUCUAAUACAGUUUGCUAAUGACGGUACCGUAAGAAUAAGUGGUUGCUAACUCUGUGCCAGCCGCCGCAGUAA